This 736-nucleotide long non-coding RNA is filed under the name Pongo abelii (Sumatran orangutan). RNAcentral describes it as "lincRNA". The record is from RNAcentral. Lineage: Eukaryota; Metazoa; Chordata; Mammalia; Primates; Hominidae.
GCGCGUCUGCGCCUCCGGCCGCCGCGGCUCCCGGGGCCUCCGCCUGCAGCCGGCGGCGGAACGGGGGCAGGCGGCUGAGACGGGCGAGCUAUUUGCAUUCCCGGCAGUCAUUUUUAUAUGCGGAGGUAAUGAAGUUGUCAGCGGCGCCCCGAGUGUGGCAGAGCCUGAUAUUCAAAUCGCCCUGCCCGCUCCGCCUGCUCCCGCCCGCCUGUCCCGGGAGCCCCAGGCUGCGCGCGCCCGCACCGCAUCCCCGCUUUGCCCCGCGACCGCGCGCGCCUCCUCGUCCUCCCCCGCGCCUUUGUCUCCGUCUCCUUCUCGUUUCCUUCUCCUUUCCCUCCUCUUUUGUGUCGGGCCAGACUCAGCCCCAGAAACCAGCCACCCUGCCGCGUCCGACUGCCAGGGAUCCCGCACGCCGCGAGAAACCCAACACAGCUAUUCUGUCAGGCUGCCGAGAAAAGGCUGUUCCACAGUUGCAGCCCUGGUGAGGCAAUGAGGCGGAAAGGUGGACGCACCUGCCUGGAGUGGUUGAAGGAAGGCAGUGAACAUCCACGCUCCUGGGGUUGGUUUUCCUGGGCCUCUGUAGCUGUGCUGCUCACUGGGGCAGCCACUGACCACAAGAGGCUGCCGAGCGCUUGCAGUGUGGCCAGGCCAGACCAGGAUGUUCUCCAACUGGGAAAUACACACCCCCAUUGUAAAGAAGACUGUAUGGAAAAAAGAAUGUGAACUGGCUCAUUCA